GUUUGUAUUCUUAGUGGUAGCGGCACAGUUACCAACGUCAACCUUCGUCAGCCUGCUGCAAGUGUAGUCACACUCCACGGACGUUUCGAAAUACUUAGCCUCUCAGGUACGGUGCUUCCUCCGCCUGCACCGCCCGCCUCCAGUGGGAUCUCUAUAUUUUUAUCAGGUGGACAAGGACAAGUGGUUGGAGGAUCCGUUGUAGGGCCUUUGAUCGCAUCAGGUCCAGUCGUCUUAAUGGCUGCCUCUUUUGCUAAUGCUGUAUUUGAACGACUUCCCUUGGAGGAAGAUGAUGAGGCUCCUGCUAAUGUUCCUACUACACAGGUACAGCCAGCUGCCUCACAGUCAUCAGGAGUAACCGGUGGUGGAGAGGCCGCCGGUACUGCCCAUCCUGCCGAAGGAAAUAUGGCUUUUGGGAAUAAUUACUCAUUCUCAGCUGAGUUGCUUGGAUGGGGUGGCAAUGCUGCAAAUGAAAGGCCCCCAUUUUAGCUAGUAUAUACGAUAGUGAUCAUGAGAUUUUCAAAUUACUCAAAAUGUUAAGAGAUAGCUGGUGCAGAAAAUAGCCAGUUGUGGCUAACAAACACUACUUUUUUUUUUCUAAUUCCACCAACGGAAGAAAACUUGAAAGCAAGGUGAGUUUCAUGUAUGUAUAUAUAUAUAUAUAGUGUUUGUACAAGUACUAUAUAACAAUGCUCAUCUUCA
RNAcentral lists this unclassified non-coding RNA (699 nucleotides) under Hevea brasiliensis (rubber tree). Lineage: Eukaryota; Viridiplantae; Streptophyta; Magnoliopsida; Malpighiales; Euphorbiaceae. The record is from RNAcentral.